AAUUGAAGUAGAGCUGGCACUCAAACAUGGGCCUUAAUAUAACAUGAUACGGAGGAAUGGUGAUCAACAAACUGAUCCAGCUGACAUAUUUUAAUCGAUUACUCAGGAAUGUAGGACCAAAAAUGCAAAUGGAGGCAGAGAGCAGGGGGGCAGUUUGGAAAAUCCAGAAGAUAUUGAAGCUACUAAUUUUGGGCAACCAGAAGAUAUGCAAGGCAGUAGAUAGAUCCCAGCAUAUAAGAGGAAACAAAGAAGAUAAUGGGCAGAAAAAUAUAUUAUUACUGAUUUGGGGAACACUGUCAAUAAUAUAGGAAAUAUUGACAUUGAUUUUGUUUUCUAAAAUAACUCUAUGUUUUGAUUUAAAUCCGUCCCGGAGGGAGGCUAGACUAUCAUGGUUAUUAUAAUGAAUUAUAAUUGGUGUUAUUGAUAGUA
Molecule: long non-coding RNA, 429 nt
Organism: Mangifera indica (mango)
Lineage: Eukaryota; Viridiplantae; Streptophyta; Magnoliopsida; Sapindales; Anacardiaceae
Exons: 2
Source: RefSeq, a predicted model, not a curated record